UACGAGGGGUGCAAGUGUUAUUCAGAAUCAUUGGGCGUAAAACGCAUGCAGGCUGUUGAUAAAGUUCAAAUUUAAAUGCCUUGGGUGACCAAGGCCUCGUUUGAAAACUGAUCGACUAGAGUCGCUCAAAGAGUAGUGGAACUUCCAGAGGAGAGGUUAAAUUCAUAGAUCCUGGAAAGAACGCCAAUGGCCAAGGCAACUAUUUAGGUGAUGACUGACGCUGAUGUGCGAAAGCGUGGGGAUCAAACAGG
Molecule: ribosomal RNA, 251 nt
Filed under: uncultured bacterium
Lineage: Bacteria
Description: partial 16S ribosomal RNA
Rfam family: Bacterial small subunit ribosomal RNA
Source: RNAcentral